CUCACUAUCUCUUAUAAAUUUCCAGUAACUUUCAUCUUUAUUUGUUAAAAGAAGUGAUGCUAAUGUCUUCACUGCUAAGGGAACUCCUUUGCAUUUUUUCACAAUUUCAUCCCCAAUUUUUAACAAGUUUGGAUAGUGCUUCUCUUCACCUUCUUUAAAUGCACAUCUAGUAAACAAAGCCACGCAUUUAUCAUGCGGAAGACCUGAUAACUCAUAUGGUUCUGAAAUGGUGCUCAUAAUGGAGGCUACUUUCUUACU
Molecule: unclassified non-coding RNA, 258 nt
Filed under: Hevea brasiliensis (rubber tree)
Lineage: Eukaryota; Viridiplantae; Streptophyta; Magnoliopsida; Malpighiales; Euphorbiaceae
Source: RNAcentral